This is a small nuclear RNA of Pristis pectinata (smalltooth sawfish), 103 nucleotides long. Lineage: Eukaryota; Metazoa; Chordata; Chondrichthyes; Rhinopristiformes; Pristidae. The record is from RefSeq and is a predicted model, not a curated record.
AUGCUUCAUUGGCAUACAUACUAAACUAGAAUGAUACUGAGAAAAUUAGCAUGGCCGCUGCACAAUGAUCAUACACACAUUCAUAAAAAUUCAAUGACUAUGU